GUCCCCAUCGUCUAGCGGCCUAGGACAUCGCCCUUUCACGGCGAGAACAGGGGUUCGAACCCCCUUGGGGACGCCA
RNAcentral lists this transfer RNA (76 nucleotides) under Legionella sp. RNAcentral's name for it is "tRNA-Glu(ttc)". It matches the Rfam family "tRNA". Rfam says of the family: Transfer RNA (tRNA) molecules are approximately 80 nucleotides in length. Their secondary structure includes four short double-helical elements and three loops (D, anti-codon, and T loops). RNAcentral also lists the same sequence under 4 other names. Lineage: Bacteria; Pseudomonadati; Pseudomonadota; Gammaproteobacteria; Legionellales; Legionellaceae. The record is from RNAcentral.